RNAcentral lists this RNase P RNA (364 nucleotides) under human gut metagenome. Its description in RNAcentral is "Bacterial RNase P class A". It matches the Rfam family "Bacterial RNase P class A". From Rfam's summary of the family: Ribonuclease P (RNase P) is a ubiquitous endoribonuclease, found in archaea, bacteria and eukarya as well as chloroplasts and mitochondria. Its best characterised activity is the generation of mature 5'-ends of tRNAs by cleaving the 5'-leader elements of precursor-tRNAs. Cellular RNase Ps are ribonucleoproteins. The record is from RNAcentral.
GGCGGAGGAGAUGAGGAAAGUCCGGGCAGCGCAGGGCAUCGUCCUUUCUAACGGAAAGCCGCGGGCGACCGCGGAGCAAGCGUGACAGAAAACAACCGCCCCCACGCGGGGCAAGGGUGAAAAGGCGGGGUAAGAGCCCACCGGGUUCCGCCGCGAGACGGAGCGCCGCACGCCUGACGAGCUGCAAGGCCAAGUAUACCGGCAUUCAAGGAUUGCCCGUCCAUUGCCGGGGGGUAGGCUGCUUUAGCGCGCCUGGCAACAGGCCGCAUAGAUAAAUGACGGGACGGGCCUUCAGGGUCGCCACCCCCUACGGGGGAGGAGAGAAACCGGAAGCCCGACAUAACCCGGCUUACAGCCCGGCUGC